RNAcentral lists this ribosomal RNA (566 nucleotides) under Dothideomycetes sp. RNAcentral describes it as "LSU rRNA". It matches the Rfam family "Eukaryotic large subunit ribosomal RNA", at positions 72 to 651 of the family's 3401-position model. Lineage: Eukaryota; Fungi; Ascomycota; Dothideomycetes. The record is from RNAcentral.
GGAUUGCCCUAGUAACGGCGAGUGAAGCGGCAACAGCUCAAAUUUGAAAUCUGGCUUCCUUUGGGAGUCCGAGUUGUAAUUUGUAGAGGGUGCUUUGGCAUAGGCGGCGGUCUAAGUUCCUUGGAACAGGACAUCGCAGAGGGUGAGAAUCCCGUAUGUGGGCGCCUGCCUUUGCCGUGUAAAGCCCCUUCGACGAGUCGAGUUGUUUGGGAAUGCAGCUCUAAAUGGGAGGUAAAUUUCUUCUAAAGCUAAAUACUGGCCAGAGACCGAUAGCGCACAAGUAGAGUGAUCGAAAGAUGAAAAGUACUUUGGAAAGAGAGUCAAAUAGCACGUGAAAUUGUUGAAAGGGAAGCGCUUGCAGCCAGACGUGCCCGCAGUUGCUCACCCCGGCUCUUGCCGGGGGCAUUCUUCUGCGGGCAGGCCAGCAUCAGUUUGGGCGGUCGGAUAAAGGCCUCUGUCAAGUAUCUUCCUUCGGGAUGACCUUAUAGGGGAGGCGUAAUGCGACCAGCCUGGACUGAGGUCCGCGCAUCUGCUAGGAUGCUGGCGUAAUGGCUGUAAGCGGCCCU